AGUGGGGAAUCUUGGACAAUGGGCGCAAGCCUGAUCCAGCCAUGCCGCGUGGAUGAUGAAGGCCCUAGGGUUGUAAAAUCCUUUCGUUGGGGACGAUAAUGACGGUACCCAAAGAAGAAGCUCCGGCUAACUUCGUGCCAGCAGCCGCGGUAAUACGAAGGGGGCUAGCGUUGUUCGGAUUUACUGGGCGUAAAGCGCGUGUAGGCGGGUCGUUAAGUUGGGGGUGAAAUCCCGGAGCUCAACUCCGGAACUGCCUCCAAAACUGGCGACCUGGAGCAAGAUAGAGGCGAGUGGAAUUCCGAGUGUAGAGGUGAAAUUCGUAGAUAUUCGGAGGAACACCAGUGGCGAAGGCGACUCGCUGGAUCUUUGCUGACGCUGAGACGCGAAAGCGUGGGGAGCAAA
This 402-nucleotide ribosomal RNA is filed under the name uncultured Woodsholea sp. Its description in RNAcentral is "bacterial SSU rRNA". It matches the Rfam family "Bacterial small subunit ribosomal RNA", at positions 353 to 772 of the family's 1533-position model. Lineage: Bacteria; Pseudomonadati; Pseudomonadota; Alphaproteobacteria; Maricaulales; Maricaulaceae. The record is from RNAcentral.